AAGGAAACAAGAGGGCGUGAAUCCAGGCCAUCCUCAGGGGAGGGUGGGAGCCCAUCCCAGGCAGAGAGGCCUAAGCCUCAGUGUGGGCCAAGGCUCAAAGGUGCUGGCACAGGCUUCCCAGGGAGAACAGAAACUCAGCAGUGAAAGCCGCAGAGGGGAAGAAGCAGGCUGAUGUCAACAGCGUGGGGCUCUGUCCCUCACCCCAAGGAGAGGGAGUGUGCCAGAUCCCAGGCCACCAAGCGGGGCCAGCUCCAGCCUGGGCGAUCGUCCCAGCAGCUGAGAGGGAAGCUUUAAGCAGACCAGUGGGUAGGAGAGGAGGGAGCAUGCGGCAGGUGGGGCAGCCACACAAAGGAGAGUUCCCAGAAGGCCAAGGUGUGGUCACCCUCCACGCCUCCCGACUUCCUCCUGGAGUGGCUGGGCAGCAUGCAGGGCAGCGUCCAGUAGGCGGCAGUGGCAGGAAGGGAGCGGGCGGCCCUCGCAGGUCCCUCAGUUGGCAGGGCUGCAUUGCAGAAUCUGCUGUGGGGCAAAGAGCUUCCUGGCAGCCACGGCUUCCCCUGGCUUUCCUGGCACUGGGCAGUUCUCUUUGUUGUCCGGCCCGGCAGGCUGGCCUGAGGCCUUCUUGAAGUAGCAGAGCCGACACACGGAGUGGUACUUGUCUGCUCCCCCAAUCACCUCGACCUGGCCGCAGGGACAGGGGAUGGGUGAAGGGCCAGGACAGGAAGGAGGCAGAGCCAUACCCCCACCCCGCCGGCCUGCAGGGAAGGCAGGUGGAGCUACCUCCUUCUCUGUGCCGAGCCUCUUGGUAUAGGCGGCUUCCCGGAAGCACUCCAUGCACACCGCCGUCAGCUUCACCACGCUCUCGGCCAGCGGCACCAGGUUCAGGAUGGCCCCAAAUGGCUGCGCUCCCAUGGAAAGACAGAGGGCGCUCAGCCACCUUACCAGGUGUAACACCACCCUGUGCCGUGGACAUCGCAUCUUAGGAAUGAGGAAGCAAAUUUGGAAAAGUAAAUGACCUACAUCAGACAGCAUGGUCACGAAGUGCGGUUAAAUUCCCACAUGCAACUCCAAGCCCCAAGCACCCUCCACUCCACCAGCAUCUGGCUUCAGGAGCCCCUCAGCUCCCACCGAAGGCCACACGCCGGGUGGAUCUGUUCUCUGCACAGCCAUAGCAACUCUCGGAUACAGCUCCCAGCCAGGGCUCUGAGGCUGAAGCCCUAUAAUGUGUGGCACAGCAUGGCUUUGCCACUGGGUGCCCAGGUGGACAAGUCCAGAGGACCAAGCAAAGCGUCUCAGGCUCAGAAACAUCAGGCCCACAUCUGCUGCCAAGGAAGUGAAUUUAACUCCCAAACUGAGGUUGCAGGCGGAAAUGUCCAGCGAGCUCAAACAGCUACACAUAAAACAGGGAAGCGUGAAGGCUGCCAGGUGACGGGGGAGCCAGCCAACAACGGACAACUAAAAAAUUAAACAAAAAUCAACGUGCAGGCCAAACCAAACCAGUCUGCAGCCUGUGUGAAGCUGAAACCCUACGGCAGAGUUUCUGAACACUGGCAGGCUCCUGACAUUUGGGGCCAGCUCGUUCUUGCAUGGGGGCCGUCCUCUGCACCAUAGGACCCUUAGCAGCAGUGUCCCUGAUUUCUACACAUUAAAGCCCAAAAGCAUCCCCUCCCCCCUCCAGUUGCAACAACUAGAAAUGUCUUCAAACAUUGUCAAAUGGACCCUGGCGGCAAAAUCACCCUCAGUGGAGAACCACUGGCUCCAGCCCAGGGAGUGGAGAGUGUGCGCUACCUUGCCAAGCACCUUGGAAAGUGUGCUGAUUUGAAUCAUUCAAUGUUCA
RNAcentral lists this long non-coding RNA (1834 nucleotides) under Homo sapiens (human). RNAcentral describes it as "long non-coding RNA NONHSAT056203.2". The record is from RNAcentral. Lineage: Eukaryota; Metazoa; Chordata; Mammalia; Primates; Hominidae.